AGCUUUGCGCAGUGGCAUUACCGUAGCUGAUGAGGUCCAUCCGAGGCGCGGUUAUUGCUGAUUGAAAACUUUUCCCAAUACCCCGCGAGACGACUUGAAACAUAGUCGGCUUUGCAAUUUUUGUGGGCCCUAUUUAGGG
Molecule: small nuclear RNA, 139 nt
Filed under: Nematostella vectensis (starlet sea anemone)
Lineage: Eukaryota; Metazoa; Cnidaria; Anthozoa; Actiniaria; Edwardsiidae
Description: U4 spliceosomal RNA
Rfam family: U4 spliceosomal RNA
About the family: U4 small nuclear RNA (U4 snRNA) is a component of the major U2-dependent spliceosome. The structure of U4 snRNA from yeast and human has been reported. U4 snRNA presents a k-turn RNA motif in the 5p-SL related to recognition of Snu13 protein.
Source: Rfam by way of RNAcentral